RNAcentral lists this ribosomal RNA (253 nucleotides) under uncultured bacterium. RNAcentral's name for it is "partial 16S ribosomal RNA". It matches the Rfam family "Bacterial small subunit ribosomal RNA", at positions 524 to 776 of the family's 1533-position model. The record is from RNAcentral.
GACGAGGGAUCCUAGCGUUGCUCGGAAUCAUUGGGCGUAAAGCGGGUGUAGGUGGCUUUGUAAGUCAGGGGUGAAAUCCGGCAGCUCAACUGUCGAAGUGCCUUUGAUACUGAUUUGCUCGAGGGAUAUAGGGGUCUGUGGAACUUCUGGUGGAGCGGUGAAAUGCGUUGAUAUCAGAAGGAACGCCGGUGGCGAAAGCGACGGACUGGAUAUCUUCUGACGCUGAGGCGCGAAAGCUAGGGGAGCAAACGGG